AUGCCGGAGCCUCCCGGAUGAGCGCCGCCCCCUGCUCCAGGGAGCCCAGUCCCAUCUACCACCCAAGGGCUGAGGAGUGAGGGCGCACGGCGCGGGACUGGCGGGCAGUUCCACCUGCAGCCCCGGUGUGGGAUCCACUGGGUGAAGCCAGCUGGGCUCCUGAGUCUGGUGGGGACCUGGAGAACCUUUAUGUCUAGCUCAAGUUGCAGCCUGUAGGCACUUGCUUUAACCAUGAAGAAUUACCUUUAGUACUUCAGGGUGAAGAAUCGGGAGCCAGCGGUAUGACAAAUAAAUCUGGACUCUCAGCAAUGAGGAAAGAAACAGACCAACAAGUUGGGGAAAGAAGGCUCACAUACUGCAGUGACCAGGUAACUCUGUUCACAGACCAAGUCCUCAGUCAAAUACUAUCUUCUGAGGAGGGAAGAAUCGAGGUUAUGUAG
RNAcentral lists this long non-coding RNA (440 nucleotides) under Pongo abelii (Sumatran orangutan). RNAcentral describes it as "lincRNA". Lineage: Eukaryota; Metazoa; Chordata; Mammalia; Primates; Hominidae. The record is from RNAcentral.